UACGGAGGGUGCAAGCGUUGUCCGGAUUUAUUGGGUUUAAAGGGUGCGUAGGCGGCCCGUUAAGUCAGCGGUGAAAUCCCAGGGCUCAACCCUGGAACUGCCGUUGAUACUGACGGGCUUGAGUUCGGUUAAGGCGGGCGGAACUGGUGGUGUAGCGGUGAAAUGCAUAGAUACCACCAAGAACCCCGAUUGCGUAGGCAGCUCGCUGAGCCGAAACUGACGCUGAGGCACGAAAGCGUGGGGAGCGAACAGG
RNAcentral lists this ribosomal RNA (253 nucleotides) under uncultured bacterium. Its description in RNAcentral is "partial 16S ribosomal RNA". It matches the Rfam family "Bacterial small subunit ribosomal RNA", at positions 524 to 776 of the family's 1533-position model. The record is from RNAcentral. RNAcentral also lists the same sequence under 1 other name.